UCAAAUUUGAAAUCUGGCUUCGGCCCGAGUUGUAAUUUGUAGAGGAUGCUUUUGGUGCGGUGCCUUCUGAGUUCCCUGGAACGGGACGCCAGAGAGGGUGAGAGCCCCGUAUAGUUGGACACCAAGCCUUUGUAAAGCUCCUUCGACGAGUCGAGUAGUUUGGGAAUGCUGCUCUAAAUGGGAGGUAUAUCUCUUCUAAAGCUAAAUAUAGGCCAGAGACCGAUAGCGCACAAGUAGAGUGAUCGAAAGAUGAAAAGCACUUUGAAAAGAGGGUUAAAUAGUACGUGAAAUUGUUGAAAGGGAAGGGCUUGUGACCAGACUUGUGCCGGGCUGAUCAUCCACGGUUCUCCGUGGUGCACUCUGC
Molecule: ribosomal RNA, 364 nt
Filed under: Coniochaeta sp.
Lineage: Eukaryota; Fungi; Ascomycota; Sordariomycetes; Coniochaetales; Coniochaetaceae
Description: partial large subunit ribosomal RNA
Rfam family: Eukaryotic large subunit ribosomal RNA
Source: RNAcentral